This 599-nucleotide ribosomal RNA is filed under the name uncultured bacterium. Its description in RNAcentral is "bacterial SSU rRNA". It matches the Rfam family "Bacterial small subunit ribosomal RNA", at positions 62 to 650 of the family's 1533-position model. The record is from RNAcentral.
UCGAGGGGUAACAGAUGAAGAGCUUGCUCUGAUUGCUGACGACCGGCGCACGGGUGAGUAACAAGUAUGCAACCUACCUUUUACAGAGGGAUAGCCCAGAGAAAUUUGGAUUAAUACCUCAUAAUAUUUUUAACUCGCAUGAGUUUUAAAUUAAAACUUCGGUGGUAAAAGAUGGGCAUGCUUUCUAUUAGUUUGUUGGUGAGGUAACGGCUCACCAAGACUAUGAUAGAUAGGGGGUCUGAGAGGAUAGUCCCCCACACUGGUACUGAGACACGGACCAGACUCCUACGGGAGGCAGCAGUGAGGAAUAUUGGUCAAUGGUCGAAAGACUGAACCAGCCAUGUCGCGUGAAGGAUGACGGCCCUAUGGGUUGUAAACUUCUUUUGUAUGGGAAGAAAAGCAGUUACGUGUAAUUGUCUGCCGGUACCAUACGAAUAAGGAUCGGCUAACUCCGUGCCAGCAGCCGCGGUAAUACGGAGGAUCCAAGCGUUAUCCGGAUUUAUUGGGUUUAAAGGGUGCGUAGGCGGCUCUAUAAGUCAGUAGUGAAAUCUCGAAGCUCAACUUCGAACGUGCUAUUGAAACUGUAGAGCUUGAGUACA